Molecule: ribosomal RNA, 880 nt
Rfam family: Bacterial small subunit ribosomal RNA
GUGCGUGUUUCCUGGUGGCGAGCGGCGGAGGGUGAGUAAUGCAGGAAAUGUGGGUGGGAGGGGGGGAUAACCUGGGGAGACCCAGGCUAAUACCGCAUACGUCCUACGGGAGAAAGCAGGGGAUCUUCGGACCUUGCGCUAUCGGAUGAGUCUAUGUCGGAUUAGCUUGUUGGUGAGGUAAUGGCUCACCAAGGCGACGAUCCGUAGCUGGUCUGAGAGGAUGAUCAGCCACAUCGGGACUGAGACACGGCCCGAACUCCUACGGGAGGCAGCAGUGGGGAAUAUUGGACAAUGGGCGAAAGCCUGAUCCAGCCAUGCCGCGUGUGUGAAGAAGGCCUUCGGGUUGUAAAGCACUUUCAGUGGGGAAGAAAGCCUUGGGGCUAAUACCCUCGAGGAAGGACAUCACCCACAGAAGAAGCACCGGCUAACUCCGUGCCAGCAGCCGCGGUAAUACGGAGGGUGCGAGCGUUAAUCGGAAUUACUGGGCGUAAAGCGCGCGUAGGCGGUCUGAUAAGCCGGUUGUGAAAGCCCCGGGCUCAACCUGGGAACGGCAUCCGGAACUGUCAGGCUAGAGUGCAGGAGAGGAAGGUAGAAUUCCCGGUGUAGCGGUGAAAUGCGUAGAGAUCGGGAGGAAUACCAGUGGCGAAGGCGGCCUUCUGGACUGACACUGACGCUGAGGUGCGAAAGCGUGGGUAGCAAACAGGAUUAGAUACCCUGGUAGUCCACGCCGUAAACGAUGUCGACUAGCCGUUGGGCUCCUUGAGAGCUUUGUGGCGCAGUUAACGCGAUAAGUCGACCGCCUGGGGAGUACGGCCGCAAGGUUAAAACUCAAAUGAAUUGACGGGGGCCCGCACAAGCGGUGGAGCAUGUGGUUUAAUUC